RNAcentral lists this ribosomal RNA (119 nucleotides) under Bos indicus x Bos taurus (hybrid cattle). Lineage: Eukaryota; Metazoa; Chordata; Mammalia; Artiodactyla; Bovidae. The record is from RNAcentral.
GUCUCUGGCCAUACCACCCUGAACACCCCCGAUCUCGUCUGAUCUCGGAAGCUAAGCAGGGUCGGGCCUGGUUAGAAAUUGGAUGGGAGGCCACCUAGGAAUACCGGGUGCUGUAGGCU